GAUGAACGCUGGCGGCGUGCUUAAUACAUGCAAGUCGAGCGAACGGACGAGACGCUUGCUUCUUUGUUGUUAGCGGCGGACGGGUGUGAAACACGUGGAAACCCUCCUUAUAAUACGGGGAUAACUUGGGAAAACCGGCGCAAAUCCCGUAUAAUCUUUUGAACCGCAGGGUUGAAAGGAAAAAGUCGGCCUUGCGGUAUCUAAUAGAGGGUUCCGCGCUGGAUUGGCUAGUUGUUAAGGAACCGGCUUACCAAGGCAAGGAUGCAUAGCCGACCUGAGGGGGUGAUCGGCCACACUGGAACUGAGACACGGUCCAGACGCCUACGGGAGGCAGCAGGAGGGAAUCUUCCGCAAUGGGCGAAAGCCUGACGGAGCAACGCCGCGUGCGUGAUGAAGGUCUUCGGAUCGUAAAACUCUGUUAUUAGGGAAGAACAUAUGUGUAAGUAACUGUGCACAUCUUGACGGUACCUAAUCAGAAAGCCACGGCUAACUACGUG
This 497-nucleotide ribosomal RNA is filed under the name uncultured bacterium. RNAcentral's name for it is "partial 16S ribosomal RNA". It matches the Rfam family "Bacterial small subunit ribosomal RNA", at positions 28 to 507 of the family's 1533-position model. The record is from RNAcentral.